UGUACAUCCAACCCCUCCAUUCCCCGAAAGGAGGCAAAAAAAUAAAACGUUUUUUGGAGGGAGUGGGAGUGGUCAAAGAUGGGGCAGUGGAGAUGUCCUCAAAUUACCACCAAGGUUAGAGACAGAGGGCUACAGUGCUGGGCUGCUGUCCUGGUACCCCUGCUGCCCUGGGGUUCUGGGGCCCAGUGUGGCUGCUCUCAGGGCUGGAAAUCACCAGGACGUGGGCCUGGGGUUGCAUGUGCCUGCGAUAAAAAGAGGGUCUUGCGUGACCAUCAUUAGCCUAGUCAGGGAGAGGGAGAGGACACCUGAUGGCUCCUUUCAGCAACAGGACAGCCCCUCUGCCUUGGCUCCAGGAGGAACCUUUCCUUCAUUGGUUCCUGGAUCUUUGGUCUCUAAACCCUCAAGGCAAUGACUAGGAACCUUAGGGUGCACCUAGGAGGAUGCCAAGCUCCAGCAGGGGAUGUGAGGAGAAGGAAGGAUUCUUAGGGGUGGAAAGUAGCACUAAGGGACAAUCCCAAUGACCCAAGGUCAAAGCUGGCUGGGGGUGGGUAACUGUCAAGGAGGGCAACUGUUAACGUCUACAAUCCCUUAUCAAAGCACAUAAAGCCAGAUGUGAUUCUGAAUUCAGAAAUUUUCUGAUUUUAGAAAGGUAUUAUGGUGUGUACACCGUACAUUAUGUAACACCCUCACUGGGGUCUGGGGCUGCCUUACAUGAUCAAAUGCAUUCAUGUUUCUGCUGUGCAAUGUAUGGAUAUCCACAGGAAAUGGGACAAAAGCUUCACUUCAGUUCAGAUUAAGCGUUGGUGCCAGAUGAAGAAAAAUUUGGUUUCCAGAUUUUCCUUGGAUUUCAGGAUUGCAGAUAAGGGAUGUCUGCUCACGUAAGUGGAUACGAAUCCCGCGUGACUGAUGGAGAACUGUGGCUGUGGAUCUUAAGGGACUAUGAUCCUACUUGGGCCUCUCUCUUGCCUUUUCUUCUCAAAGUUGCUGAAGCUCCUCAAUUUUAGCAAAUCCAUUUGGUACCAGUUUGCAAGGUCGGGAGGGCAGCUGAAAACAGCAGACGGGGAGGAAUUGUGGACUCAACUCUUUCUUGGCUGCCAUAGCUUCCAGGAACAUUAAAUACUUGAAGAUCUGCCCCCAAAACUCUGCUGUGAAUGUCAGAGACAGACACAGAGAGCGUCCUGAAUGGCCCCACCCCCUUUUUUUGGAGGAAGAUUAGCCCUGAGCUAACAUCUGCUGCCAAUCCUCCUCUUUUUGCUGAGGAAGACUGGCCCUGACCUGAGCUAACAUCCAUGCCCAUCUUCCUCUACUUUAUAUGUGGGACGCCUGCCACAGCAUGGCUUUUGCCCAGCAGUGCCACGUCCGCACCCGGGAGCUGAACCAGCGAACCCCAGACCACCGAAGCAGAAUGUGCGCACUUAACUGCUGCGCCACAGGCCGGCCCCAAGAAUGGCCCCUCUUGAGCCAAUUGACUCCACCCAAUGCAACGCUAGGCAAUUUUUAUAAAGACUGAGGCAGCCCUGUGUGUUUUGAUUUGGAGUGAUGUUAAGAUACAUUGUUAAAAGGGGACAGCCCCCCUCCGAUAGCUCUGGGAAACUAAGUUUAGGUAUGAGUUAAACUCACACCAGUGGUUACCCCUGGGAGAGGAGAGGCUGGCUGGGUAAGGGGAGGGAGGGAGACCCACUCUUCAUUGCUCAUCCCUUUAUACCAUUUGAAAUGUGUGCCAUAUGCCUAGAUUAAUAAAAUUUAAUUGAAAAACAAAAGUCAACGAGCUAUUGUCUUUAUCAUUCAAAGGUAUGUCUUUUAUCUUAAACUCUGAAUUAACAAGACAGCAGAGAGAAUUCAGGCAGCUUGGAAGGCACUUCCAGGGUUUGGUGCAGGACGGUGAAAAUUAUUCAAGUUCUGUUAAGUCCAAAAUACACAUGAGCUGC
Molecule: long non-coding RNA, 1928 nt
Filed under: Equus caballus (horse)
Lineage: Eukaryota; Metazoa; Chordata; Mammalia; Perissodactyla; Equidae
Description: lncRNA (ENSECAG00000056832.1)
Source: RNAcentral